ACGGCCUGGAUGUUAGGCAAAACGCCGCCCUGGGCGAUGGUGACUUUGCCCAGCAGCUUGUUCAGUUCCUCGUCGUUGCGGAUGGCCAGCUGGAGGUGACGAGGGAUGAUGCGCGUCUUCUUGUUGUCCCGAGCCGCGUUG
MicroRNA precursor from Chlorocebus sabaeus (green monkey), 141 nucleotides. NCBI's taxonomy places the organism in Eukaryota, Metazoa, Chordata, Mammalia, Primates, Cercopithecidae. The record is from Ensembl.